AUUUCCAUUGGCAUCACCAUAGCCACUCCCCAUGUAGCCACCACCUGUCCCCUGUUCUCCGCUAGCACUACCACCAGAACUAGGUGCACUUCCAGCACGGCCACCAGCAGCCCCAUAUCCCCCAGAAUAAGAACCAUCACUCCCACCAUAGUUACCAUAUCCAAAACCUUGACUUCCAUAUCCAGAAGCGCCACUUGGAGAUUGACCCAUUGGUCCAGAAACACCAGCACCACCCGGAGCAUUCCAAGGACCUGUAGCUCCAUAGGCUGCAUUUGAACCAUAGCCUGAAGCACCAUAUCCAGAAGGAGUUUGGUUGUUCCAUUGGCUUUUCAUAGCACCAGGUGGGCCACUUACAUAACCAGCAUUAGGAGCAUUCGGGUUUCCAUACGCCCCAGCAGGACCGCCAAAUCCAGUAUUGGCACUUCCAUAACCACCAACACCAUAACUCCCAUAACCACCAUAACCAACAGCACUAUUUGCUGCUCCAUAGCCAUAACCUGGUGCACCAUAGCCAGAAUAUGGUGGGAAACCACCACCAGUGGUCUGAGGUGGCAUGAAUCUA
This 562-nucleotide long non-coding RNA is filed under the name Vitis vinifera (wine grape). RNAcentral's name for it is "long non-coding RNA (VVIN_LNC002118)". The record is from RNAcentral. Lineage: Eukaryota; Viridiplantae; Streptophyta; Magnoliopsida; Vitales; Vitaceae.